RNAcentral lists this ribosomal RNA (253 nucleotides) under uncultured bacterium. RNAcentral describes it as "partial 16S ribosomal RNA". It matches the Rfam family "Bacterial small subunit ribosomal RNA", at positions 524 to 776 of the family's 1533-position model. The record is from RNAcentral.
UACGUAGGGUGCAAGCGUUGUCCGGAAUUAUUGGGCGUAAAGAGCUCGUAGGCGGUCUGUCGCGUCGGCUGUGAAAACUCGGGGCUCAACCCCGAGCCUGCAGUCGAUACGGGCAGACUAGAGUGCUGUAGGGGAGACUGGAAUUCCUGGUGUAGCGGUGAAAUGCGCAGAUAUCAGGAGGAACACCAAUGGCGAAGGCAGCUCGCUGGGACGUGACUGACGCUGAGACGCGAAAGCGUGGGGAGCGGACAGG